Molecule: ribosomal RNA, 258 nt
Filed under: uncultured bacterium
Lineage: Bacteria
Description: partial small subunit ribosomal RNA
Rfam family: Bacterial small subunit ribosomal RNA
Source: RNAcentral
AGGACGAACGCUGGCGGCGUGCUUAACACAUGCAAGUCGAGCGGAAAGGCCCUUCGGGGUACUCGAGCGGCGGAACGGGUGGAGUAACGACGUGAGCAACCUGCCCUUAGCUCUGGGAUAGCUCCGGGAAACCGGAAUUAAUACCGGAUAUUACACCGGCUGGCAUCGGCUGGUGUGGAAAGAUUUAUCGGCUAAGGAUGGACUCGCGGCCUAUCAGCUUGUUGGUGGGGUAGAAGCCUACCAAGGCGACGACGGGUA